GAUGAACGCUGGCGGCGUGCCUAAUACAUGCAAGUCGAGCGAACGGACGAGAAGCUUGCUUCUCUGAUGUUAGCGGCGGACGGGUGAGUAACACGUGGAUAACCUACCUAUAAGACUGGGAUAACUUCGGGAAACCGGAGCUAAUACCGGAUAAUAUUAUGAACCGCAUGGUUCAAAAGUGAAAGACGGUCUUGCUGUAACUUAUAGAUGGAUCCGCGCUGCAUUAGCUAGUUGUUAAGGUAACGGCUUACCAAGGCAACGAUGCAUAGCCGACCUGAGAGGGUGAUCGGCCACACUGGAGCUGAGACACGGUCCAGACUCCUACGGGAGGCAGCAGUAGGGAAUCUUCCGCAAUAGGCGAAAGCCUGACGGAGCAACGCCGCGUGAGUGAUGAAGGUCUUCGGAUCGUAAAACUCUGUUAUUAGGGAAGAACAUAUGUGUAAGUAACUGUGCACAUCUUGACGGUACCUAAUCAGAAAGCCACGGCUAACUACGUG
Molecule: ribosomal RNA, 497 nt
Filed under: uncultured bacterium
Lineage: Bacteria
Description: partial 16S ribosomal RNA
Rfam family: Bacterial small subunit ribosomal RNA
Source: RNAcentral